AGAGUUUGAUCCUGGCUCAGGAUGAACGCUGGCGGCGUGCCUAAUACAUGCAAGUCGGACGGGGAGUUUCAUUUCGGUGGGGCUUCCAGUGGCGAACGGGUGAGUAACGCGUUGGUGACCUGCCCCGAAGUGUGGGACAACAGCUCGAAAGGGCUGCUAAUACCGCAUGAGCUCGUCGAGGUUAGAGGCUCGGCGAGGAAAGCAGCGAUGCGCUUUGGGAGGGACCUGCGUCCCAUCAGCUGGUUGGUAGGGUAACGGCCUGCCAAGGCGACGACGGGUAGGGGGCCUGAGAGGGUGGCCCCCCACACUGGCACUGAAACACGGGCCAGACACCUACGGGUGGCAGCAGUAGGGAAUAUUGCACAAUGGGCGCAAGCCUGAUGCAGCAACGCCGCGUGCGCGAAGAAGGCCUUCGGGUCGUAAAGCGCUUUUCUGGAGGAAGAGAGAGGACGGUACUCCAGGAAUAAGGAUCGGCUAACUACGUGCCAGCAGCCGCGGUAAUACGUAGGAUCCGAGCGUUAUCCGAAUUUACUGGGCGUAAAGCGCAUGUAGGCGGCCGGGUAAGUUGGACGUGAAAGCUCCUGGCUCAACUGGGAGAGGUCGUUCGAGACUGCCUGGCUAGAGGACGGUAGAGGGAGGUGGAAUUCCCGGUGUAGUGGUGAAAUGCGUAGAUAUCGGGAGGAACACCAGUGGCGAAAGCGGCCUCCUGGGCCGUUCCUGACGCUCAGAUGCGAAAGCUAGGGGAGCGAACGGGAUUAGAUACCCCGGUAGUCCUAGCCGUAAACGAUGUGGACUUGGCGUCGGUGGGGUCAAACCUGCCGGUGCCGGAGCCAACGCGGUAAGUCCACCGCCUGGGGACUACGGCCGCAAGGUUAAAACUCAAAGGAAUUGACGG
This 895-nucleotide ribosomal RNA is filed under the name uncultured Chloroflexota bacterium. Its description in RNAcentral is "bacterial SSU rRNA". It matches the Rfam family "Bacterial small subunit ribosomal RNA", at positions 8 to 916 of the family's 1533-position model. Lineage: Bacteria; Bacillati; Chloroflexota. The record is from RNAcentral.